AGAGUUUGAUCCUGGCUCAGGAUGAACGCCGGCGGUGUGCCUAAUACAUGCAAGUCGUACGCACUGGCCCAACUGAUUGAUGGUGCUUGCACCUGAUUGACGAUGGAUCACCAGUGAGUGGCGGACGGGUGAGUAACACGUAGGUAACCUGCCCCGGAGCGGGGGAUAACAUUUGGAAACAGAUGCUAAUACCGCAUAACAACAAAAGCCACAUGGCUUUUGUUUGAAAGAUGGCCUUGGCUAUCACUCUGGGAUGGACCUGCGGUGCAUUAGCUAGUUGGUAAGGUAACGGCUUACCAAGGCGAUGAUGCAUAGCCGAGUUGAGAGACUGAUCGGCCACAAUGGAACUGAGACACGGUCCAUACUCCUACGGGAGGCAGCAGUAGGGAAUCUUCCACAAUGGGCGCAAGCCUGAUGGAGCAACACCGCGUGAGUGAAGAAGGGUUUCGGCUCGUAAAGCUCUGUUGUUGGAGAAGAACGUGCGUGAGAGUAACUGUUCACGCAGUGACGGUAUCCAACCAGAAAGUCACGGCUAACUACGUGCCAGCAGCCGCGGUAAUACGUAGGUGGCAAGCGUUAUCCGGAUUUAUUGGGCGUAAAGCGAGCGCAGGCGGUUGCUUAGGUCUGAUGUGAAAGCCUUCGGCUUAACCGAAGAAGUGCAUCGGAAACCGGGCGACUUGAGUGCAGAAGAGGACAGUGGAACUCCACGUGUAGCGGUGGAAUGCGUAGAUAUAUGGAAGAACACCAGUGGCGAAGGCGGCUGUCUGGUCUGCAACUGACGCUGAGGCUCGAAAGCAUGGGUAGCGAACAGGAUUAGAUACCCUGGUAGUCCAUACCGUAAACGAUGAGUGCUAGGUGUUGGAGGGUUUCCGCCCUUCAGUGCCGGAGCUAACGCAUUAAGCACUCCGCCUGGGGAGUACGACCGCAAGGUUGAAACUCAAAGGAAUUGACGGGGGCCCGCACAAGCGGUGGAGCAUGUGGUUUAAUUCGAAGCUACGCGAAGAACCUUACCAGGUCUUGACAUCUUGCGCUAACCUUAGAGAUAAGGCGUUCCCUUCGGGGACGCAAUGACAGGUGGUGCAUGGUCGUCGUCAGCUCGUGUCGUGAGAUGUUGGGUUAAGUCCCGCAACGAGCGCAACCCUUGUUACUAGUUGCCAGCAUUAAGUUGGGCACUCUAGUGAGACUGCCGGUGACAAACCGGAGGAAGGUGGGGACGACGUCAGAUCAUCAUGCCCCUUAUGACCUGGGCUACACACGUGCUACAAUGGACGGUACAACGAGUCGCAAGCUCGCGAGAGUAAGCUAAUCUCUUAAAGCCGUUCUCAGUUCGGACUGUAGGCUGCAACUCGCCUACACGAAGUCGGAAUCGCUAGUAAUCGCGGAUCAGCAUGCCGCGGUGAAUACGUUCCCGGGCCUUGCACUCACCGCCCGUCA
RNAcentral lists this ribosomal RNA (1434 nucleotides) under uncultured bacterium. RNAcentral describes it as "bacterial SSU rRNA". It matches the Rfam family "Bacterial small subunit ribosomal RNA". The record is from RNAcentral.